ACCUGGUGACCUUUGAGGAUGUAGCUGGGUUUUCUACACAAGAGGAGUGGAGGCAGCUGGAUUCUGUCCAGGGGGAGCUUUAUAAUGAUGUGAUGCUGGAGAAUUAUGGGAACCUGGUUUCACUAGAUUUCAAGAAAAAAAUCGAAGGAUAUGAAUUUUUUUACUCUGUUUCUUCCUAAAGAAGUAAAAUUUCAUAGAAAAUAUCAGGAGAAUUCCCAAGAGAUGUUAACCAGGUCAGAGAGUUAGGAGAAGCCUCUGAGCUUAAUGACUGUUUAGAGAAAAAGAGAAGUAACACCAAUGGGGAGAGAUGUCUUCAGUCUGUUUACCUACAGAAAAGUUUCCAGAAUGUCACAGUCUUCUACAAGAAAACAGUUAUAGAGGAGAAAGGCAAAAAAUAUAAUGAAUUUGGAAAAACUUUUGGUUAUAUCCCCAAACUAGUUAUACACCAGAGAGAUCCUACAAAAGAAAGAAUCUACAAAGGUAAUACAUAUGGCCAAAGUUUUGCCCAGCCAUCUGCCCCUAUUCACCAUAAGAAAAUUUAUAGCGGAGAGAAGCACUUUAAAUGUGAUAAAUGUGGGAUGGCUUUCACUUAUAUGGCAGGUUUUAUUCAGCAUCAGAGUGUUCACACUGGAGAGAAAUCUUAUGAGUGUAAUGAAUGUAAGAAGGUCUUCUGUCGACAUUCAGUCCUUAUUUGACACCAGAAAACUCAUACAGGAGAGAAACCAUUUGAAUGUAAUGAAUGUGGCAAAGCUUUCAAUAGAAGUUCAGACCUUCCUAAACAUCAAAGAAUCACUGUAUAAUUGUAAAGAAUGUGAGAAAGCUUUUAGUACACAAUCAAGUCUUUGUGAACAUCAGAGAAUUCAGUGAGGAAAAGCCAUGUAAAUGUAAUGAAUGUGGAAAAUCUUUUAGUAGAACUUCAAAUAUAUCACAUCAAAGAAUUCAUACUAGAGAAAAACCAUAUGAAUGUAAAGAAUGUGGAAAAACAUUUAGUAGUAACUCGGGGGUUAAGAAACAUCAGAAAAUUCAUAAAGGAGAAAACCCUAUGAAUGUAAUAAAUGUGAUAAAAUUUUCACUCAUCUCACAGAUUUUAUUCAACACCAGAGAAUUCAUAGGGAAGAGCUUGAUGAAUAUCAUGAAUGUGGCAAGGCCUUCAAUUAUCCUUCAACUCUUACUAGACAUCAGAUAAUUCAUACCGGGGAGAAAACCUAUAAAUAUAAUGAAUGUGGAAAAUCCUUCACGCACUUUACAGGUUUUAUGCAUCAUCAGAGAAUUCAUACUGGUGAGAAAUCCUAUAACUGUAAUGAAUGUGGGAGAGCUUUCAGCAGAAACUCACUCCUUAUUCAACAUUGCAGAAUUCAUACUGAUGAGAAACCUUUUAAAUGUAAUGAAUGUGGGAAAACCUUCAGUUAACAUCAAAUGUUAGUCAGCAUCAAGUAAUUCAUAGUGGAAAGAAACCUUUCGAAUGCAGUCAAUGUGGAAAAGCCUUUAAUCACCAUUCACUCUUUAUUCAACAUCUAAGAAUCCAUACUGGAGAGAAACUAUUCAAAUGUAAUGAAUGUGAUAAAGCUUUUAGUAGAAGAUCAGCCCUACAAGAACAUCAAAGAAUUCAUCCUGGAGAGAAGCUAUAUGAAUGUAAAGAGUGUGGGCAAGCCUUCAUUUGGAGCUCUACCCUUAAUCAACAUCAGAGAAUUAACACUGGAGAAAAACCUUAUGAAUGUAAUAAAUGUGGGAAAACUUUCAAAAUCAUAUCUGGCCUUCCUUAGUAAACAUCAGAAAAUUCAUACUAUAGAGAAGUCAAGUGAAUGUGAUGAGUGUAGGAAAACCUUUAAUAGGAGAUCAAAACUUAUUCAACACCAGAGAAUUCAUAUUGAAGAGGAACCAUGUGAAUAUAAUACAUGUGGUAUAUAACCUUUACUUUCCAUUCACUUUUCAUUCAACAUCAGUGUAAUCACACUCAAGCCAAUUUGUAAAUACUAUGGAAAUAUAAAGGAGAACUCUGUUGACUGGUGUUCACCCAUAAUAAAUGAUAAAAUUUUUAA
This is a long non-coding RNA of Monodelphis domestica (gray short-tailed opossum), 2039 nucleotides long. RefSeq lists it as uncharacterized. The record is from RefSeq and is a predicted model, not a curated record. NCBI's taxonomy places the organism in Eukaryota, Metazoa, Chordata, Mammalia, Didelphimorphia, Didelphidae.